GCCGGGGUGGCAGAGUCUGGUUAAUUGCGCCGGUCUUGAGAACCGGUGACCCAUAUGCGGUCUCCUGGGUUCAAAUCCCAGCCCCGGCG
This 89-nucleotide transfer RNA is filed under the name Candidatus Nanosalina sp. J07AB43. It matches the Rfam family "tRNA". From Rfam's summary of the family: Transfer RNA (tRNA) molecules are approximately 80 nucleotides in length. Their secondary structure includes four short double-helical elements and three loops (D, anti-codon, and T loops). Further hydrogen bonds mediate the characteristic L-shaped molecular structure. tRNAs have two regions of fundamental functional importance: the anti-codon, which is responsible for specific mRNA codon recognition, and the 3' end, to which the tRNAs corresponding amino acid is attached (by aminoacyl-tRNA synthetases). tRNAs cope with the degeneracy of the genetic code in two manners: having more than one tRNA (with a specific anti-codon) for a particular amino acid; and 'wobble' base-pairing, i.e. permitting non-standard base-pairing at the 3rd anti-codon position. The record is from Rfam by way of RNAcentral. Lineage: Archaea; Methanobacteriati; Methanobacteriota; Candidatus Nanohaloarchaea.